UGAUGGAGUCGGAAUCAGGCAAAUCGGUUAGGGAGCGAACAAUUGCUAUGAAAAACGCAGCGAAGGAGGCACUGAGUGAGGGUGGUUCCUCCUUUGUUGGAUUGUCCAGACUGGCCGAGUCAUGGAAUCGUCAAUGAGUUGAAUCCGGCCAGUUUCUCUAUUCACUUGAGCAAUUAUUGACGAUUCAACACGUUACAGAAAGCCUGACU
RNAcentral lists this unclassified non-coding RNA (209 nucleotides) under Hevea brasiliensis (rubber tree). Lineage: Eukaryota; Viridiplantae; Streptophyta; Magnoliopsida; Malpighiales; Euphorbiaceae. The record is from RNAcentral.